RNAcentral lists this long non-coding RNA (219 nucleotides) under Elaeis guineensis (African oil palm). RNAcentral describes it as "long non-coding RNA (EGUI_LNC003406)". Lineage: Eukaryota; Viridiplantae; Streptophyta; Magnoliopsida; Arecales; Arecaceae. The record is from RNAcentral.
GCCUAAUUCUAACUUUUUAUGGGUCGGGUUGGGUUAAGGUUGCGUAAUUUUCGGACUAAGAUUGACCUCGAGCUGAACCCUACAAUAUUUCGAUCGGGUCAAUGGGUCUAACGAACCAAGGAUAUCCGGAUAACAAAUGACUGGAAUAGGAGCAAUGGAACGGGAUUCCGGUUUUAGCCUUUCGUUGGCGGCAGCCGCUGUAUAAGUUAUCCCGGCGAC